UACGAAGGGUGCAAACGUUGCUCGGAAUUAUUGGGCGUAGAGCGCACGUAGGCGGCUUAGCAAGUCGGAUGUGAAAUCCCUCGGCUCAACCAAGGAAGUGCAUCCGAAACUGCUGAGCUUGAGUACGAAAGAGGAUCGCGGAAUUCCCGGUGUAGAGGUGAAAUUCGUAGAUAUCGGGAGGAACACCAGUGGCGAAGGCGGCGAUCUGGGUCGAUACUGACGCUGAGGUGCGAAAGCGUGGGGAGCAAACAGG
This 253-nucleotide ribosomal RNA is filed under the name uncultured bacterium. Its description in RNAcentral is "partial 16S ribosomal RNA". It matches the Rfam family "Bacterial small subunit ribosomal RNA", at positions 524 to 776 of the family's 1533-position model. The record is from RNAcentral.